Molecule: ribosomal RNA, 932 nt
Filed under: nitrogen-fixing bacterium AN1
Lineage: Bacteria
Description: bacterial SSU rRNA
Rfam family: Bacterial small subunit ribosomal RNA
Source: RNAcentral
GGUGCAAGCGUUAAUCGGAAUUACUGGGCGUAAAGCGCACGCAGGCGGUCUGUCAAGUCGGAUGUGAAAUCCCCGGGCUCAACCUGGGAACUGCAUUCGAAACUGGCAGGCUGGAGUCUCGUAGAGGGAGGUAGAAUUCCAGGUGUAGCGGUGAAAUGCGUAGAGAUCUGGAGGAAUACCGGUGGCGAAGGCGGCCACCUGGACGAAGACUGACGCUCAGGUGCGAAAGCGUGGGGAGCAAACAGGAUUAGAUACCCUGGUAGUCCACGCUGUAAACGAUGUCGAUUUGGAGGUUGUGCCCUUGAGGCGUGGCUUCCGGAGCUAACGCGUUAAAUCGACCGCCUGGGGAGUACGGCCGCAAGGUUAAAACUCAAAUGAAUUGACGGGGGCCCGCACAAGCGGUGGAGCAUGUGGUUUAAUUCGAUGCAACGCGAAGAACCUUACCUGGUCUUGACAUCCACAGACCUGGCAGAGAUGCCGGGGUGCCUUCGGGAACUGUGAGACAGGUGCUGCAUGGCUGUCGUCAGCUCGUGUUUGUGAAAUGUUGGGUUAAGUCCCGCAACGAGCGCAACCCUUAUCCUUUGUUGCCAGCGGUCCGGCCGGGAACUCAAAGGAGACUGCCAGUGAUAAACUGGAGGAAGGUGGGGAUGCGUCAAGUCAUCAUGGCCCUUACGACCAGGGCUACACACGUGCUACAAUGGCGCAUACAAAGAGAAGCGACCUCGCGAGAGCAAGCGGACCUCAUAAAGUGCGUCGUAGUCCGGAUUGGAGUCUGCAACUCGACUCCAUGAAGUCGGAAUCGCUAGUAAUCGUGAAUCAGAAUGUCACGGUGAAUACGUUCCCGGGCCUUGUACACACCGCCCGUCACACCAUGGGAGUGGGUUGCAAAAGAAGUAGGUAGCUUAACCUUCGGGAGGGCGCUUACCACUUUG